This 692-nucleotide long non-coding RNA is filed under the name Capsicum annuum. RNAcentral describes it as "long non-coding RNA (CANN_LNC013158)". The record is from RNAcentral. Lineage: Eukaryota; Viridiplantae; Streptophyta; Magnoliopsida; Solanales; Solanaceae.
CAAGGGUAUAUAUGUCAUGUACGGUUCGAAAAUAAAGGAGAAAUAGGUAUUAGAUCCUCUUUUGAUGAAGAUCAAGGAUGAUGUGGGUAAGGAUAAGAUGAUGACCUUCAAGAUCUCUGUUUUCCUGCUUAGCAUAUGGGCAAUCUUUAAUUCUGUGACCCGACUUUCCACAACCAAAACAACCCUUUUGUCAAGCCAAGCAUUUGUUACCAUCUAAUAAGUGAUCUUCGCCAAAAUCAUUUACAAUUAAUUCCCGCUCAAUACAAGCUCAAAAACAAAGGCAUUUUCGAUUACAAUAACAGGUUUCCAAAAUUAGAGCUCGAAUUCGAUUUCUUCCGGUAACAAAAAAGGCAAAUCCAAAUUCUCGAUAGGUAAUUGAGAUGAGCAUAUGGGUUCAAAACUACUCCACAUUGCAUACAAGAGGAUCAUAAGUAUAGGAAGUUGUUAAAAUACAUUAAUUAAGUACACAUAAUGGAUACGCACAUUAACAACAACAAAAAAAAAACAAUAUAUACCCAUCGCAAUUCCAUGAGAAGGUUCUACGACAUUUUACCUGCUCGGAAAUAAGCAAAUUAACAACAACAAUAUAUCUAGCGUAAAUAAGAACAUUAACAACAACAACAAUAUAUCUAGCGUAAAUAAGAACAUUAACAACAACAACAAUAUAUCUAGCGUAAAUAAAAACAUUAACA